Molecule: long non-coding RNA, 2073 nt
Organism: Mytilus californianus (California mussel)
Lineage: Eukaryota; Metazoa; Mollusca; Bivalvia; Mytilida; Mytilidae
Exons: 2
Source: RefSeq, a predicted model, not a curated record
UUACCAAAUAAACUACUGUGAUAAUUCAUAUCAUUAGUAUAACCCAUGUCUUUGUUAAUACACAUAAAUCUUACUCAAAUAACUAACUCUUAUUGAUAAAAUUAAGUUUGGUUAACAAUCAACAGCUGUUAUCAAAAGAACAUUAAAAGUUAGAGUUAAUUUGAACAACAAAUCAAUGUCUACAGAAGCAAGUCUGAGGUUAACUCAAAUGAAGAGAUUUUGUUGACAACAGUAUGUCAGGUUAACUCAAACAAACAAAUCUUGUAAGCACAAGAAAGAGUAGGGUUAACCUAAUCAACUAACUAACUUAAACAUCUAACAUAUGUUAACAUCAGUAAGUCUACAAUUAAGUUGAACAAUCUACUUUUCCUAACAUAAAUGUAAAAUUAUCCAACUUUACAAAUCAAAUCUUAUCAGCAAAAAUAAGCAAUUUUAACUGAGACCAUAAUCUCCUGUUAACACAAGUUAGUAUGUUAGUUACUUGAACACUUAACUUCUAUUAACACUAGUAACACUGGGGUUUACUUGAACAAAUAACUCUUAUCAACACAAAUAAGUUUGUGGUUAAACCGAGACUUUUUCUUGUUAACACAUGUAAGUCUGUGGUUAACUCAUAUGACAGACGUUUGUUAACAAAAGUUAAUCUGGAAUUGACUCUUGUUUACAAAAAUGAGUCUGUGGUUAACAAAUAACCAACUCAUGAUAACAAAAGUAAGCUAAUAGUUAUUAAAUUACUUAGGCAUGUUAACAUAAGUUAGUCUGUGGUUAAUAAAUAACCAAGUCAUGUUAACAUAAGUUAUUCAGGGGUUAUCAAAUAACCAACUCAUGUUAACAUAAGUAAAUCUAAAGUUACCAAACAACCAACUCAAACAGCAUUAGCAAAUAUUGGGUAAAGAAAUAACCAACCCUUGUUAACAGUAAACAAAUAACCUCCUCUUAAUAACACAAGUUAGCUUGUGGUUAACAACCAAUCAGUUCUUGUUUAACCAAAAUAUCUAAUUUGCUUGACCAAUCAACACCUUUCAACACAAGUUAACCCAACAAAUGACUGACUGCUGUAAUCACAAGCUGGUCUGUUAUAUACACUAAUGACUGACUGCUGUAAUCACAAGCUGGUCUGUUAUAUACACAAAUGACUGACUGCUGUAAUCACAAGCUGGUCUGUUAUAUACACAAAAGACUUGACUGCUGUAAUCACAAGCUGGUCUGUUAUAUACACAAAUGACUGACUUCUGUUAACAACAGCAUGUGUGUCAUAAACUAGAACUACCAAUUCUUGUGUACACAAGUUAAUACAGUGAAACUUGAACAGUCAACUCUUGUGUACACAUGUUAAUACAGUGAUAAACUUGAACAAUCAACUCUUGUGUACACAAGUUAAUACAGUGAUAAACUUGAACAGUCAACUCUUGUGUACACAAGGUAAUACAGUAAUAAACUUGAACAAUCAACUCUUGUGUACACAAAUUAAUACAGUGUUAACUUAAGCAGACAAGCUCUGUUGGCAUGUGUAUGGCAAAAGUUAGUUUAUGAACAACCAACUGUUGUAAACCCAAGAAUUAAAUAACUUAUUCCUAUUGAUUCAUUGAUAAUGAAUUGAAUUAAUUUAUAAACUUUAAAAAUAAUAGCACAAUGUAUAUAUUCAUUUGGAAACAGUCCUGAAAAUCUAAACAAAAAUAUCUAUAUCUGAUAAAAAGAUCUAAGUUCCAAUAAAGCAAUUCUACAAAGCACAAUCACAUAACAUCUAUUUUGUUAAACUUAUGUCAUGUGAUCUAUCCCAUAAUCCAAUGAUCCUAACUGCACAAAACAGAGAGUAGAACAAAAAGAAAAGGAGUGAAGAGUUUCAGAUCAAUACUGUGCAGAAAACAGACCACAAAAUGACUUCUUUUUUAACAAUAUAUUCUGAAAAGGGAUGUUACUGAGUGGUCAAUCUUAAUUUGAAAUCAAGAUAAAGAAAGAGAAAAAGAUUAUGCAAAAUGCAUUGUCUGAUAUUAAAAAUUAUCAACAACUUAAUACAAUAUGAUUUUUUAAAGUAAAAUGUAUAAUAUUAUUCACUUUGAAGAAGUCAUUGUU